RNAcentral lists this ribosomal RNA (2110 nucleotides) under Limnohabitans sp. KL6. RNAcentral describes it as "bacterial LSU rRNA". It matches the Rfam family "Bacterial large subunit ribosomal RNA", at positions 543 to 2656 of the family's 2925-position model. Lineage: Bacteria; Pseudomonadati; Pseudomonadota; Betaproteobacteria; Burkholderiales; Comamonadaceae. RNAcentral also lists the same sequence under 1 other name. The record is from RNAcentral.
AUAGAUCCUGAAACCGCAUGCUUACAAAAAGUAGGAGCCUCGAAAGGGGUGACUGCGUACCUUUUGUAUAAUGGGUCAGCGACUUACAUUCAGUGGCAAGGUUAACCGAAUAGGGAAGCCGUAGAGAAAUCGAGUCCGAAUAGGGCGAUCAGUCGCUGGGUGUAGACCCGAAACCAAGUGAUCUAUCCAUGGGCAGGAUGAAGGUGCCGUAACAGGUACUGGAGGUCCGAACCGACUAAUGUUGCAAAAUUAGCGGAUGACCUGUGGAUAGGGGUGAAAGGCUAAACAAACUUGGAAAUAGCUGGUUCUCUCCGAAAACUAUUUAGGUAGUGCCUCAAGUAUUACCAUCGGGGGUAGAGCACUGUUUUGGCUAGGGGGUCAUGGCGACUUACCAAACCAAGGCAAACUCCGAAUACCGAUGAGUACAGCUUGGGAGACAGAGCACCGGGUGCUAACGUCCGGACUCAAGAGGGAAACAACCCAGACCGCCAGCUAAGGUCCCUAAAAUUGGCUAAGUGGGAAACGAAGUGGGAAGGCUAAAACAGUCAGGAUGUUGGCUUAGAAGCAGCCAUCAUUUAAAGAAAGCGUAAUAGCUCACUGAUCGAGUCGUCCUGCGCGGAAGAUGUAACGGGGCUAAGCCAGUUACCGAAGCUGCGGAUUUGCAAUUUAUUGCAAGUGGUAGGAGAGCGUUCUGUAGGCCUGUGAAGGUGGUGGUGUAAACCCUGCUGGAGGUAUCAGAAGUGCGAAUGCUGACAUGAGUAGCGUUAAAGGGGGUGAAAAGCCCCCUCGCCGUAAGCGCAAGGUUUUCUACGCAACGUUCAUCGGCGUAGAGUGAGUCGGCCCCUAAGGCGAGGCAGAGAUGCGUAGCUGAUGGGAAACAGGUCAAUAUUCCUGUACCGAUUACAAGUGCGAUGUGGGGACGGAGAAGGUUAGCUCAGCCAACUGUUGGAUAUGUUGGUUCAAGCCUGUAGUCAUGCCUGGUAGGCAAAUCCGCCGGGCUAAGAUGAGGGGUGAUAAGGAGUCUGCUUGCAGACGAACUGAGUGAUACCCUGCUUCCAGGAAAAGCCACUAAGCUUCAGCUUGUAAUUGACCGUACCGCAAACCGACACUGGUGCGCGAGAUGAGUAUUCUAAGGCGCUUGAGAGAACUCAGGAGAAGGAACUCGGCAAAUUGAUACCGUAACUUCGGGAGAAGGUAUGCCCCUAUUAGGUGAACUUGAACAAAGGGAGCCGAACGGGGUUGCAAAAAAUCGGUGGCUGCGACUGUUUAAUAAAAACACAGCACUCUGCAAACACGAAAGUGGACGUAUAGGGUGUGACGCCUGCCCGGUGCUGGAAGAUUAAAUGAUGGGGUGCAAGCUCUUGAUUGAAGUCCCAGUAAACGGCGGCCGUAACUAUAACGGUCCUAAGGUAGCGAAAUUCCUUGUCGGGUAAGUUCCGACCUGCACGAAUGGCGUAACGAUGGCCACACUGUCUCCUCCUGAGACUCAGCGAAGUUGAAAUGUUUGUGAUGAUGCAAUCUCCCCGCGGAAAGACGGAAAGACCCCAUGAACCUUUACUGUAGCUUUGUAUUGGACUUUGAACAGAUCUGUGUAGGAUAGGUGGGAGGCUUUGAAGUGCGGUCGCUAGAUCGCAUGGAGCCAACGUUGAAAUACCACCCUGGUGUGUUUGAGGUUCUAACCUAGGUCCAUUAUCUGGAUCGGGGACAGUGCAUGGUAGGCAGUUUGACUGGGGCGGUCUCCUCCCAAAGCGUAACGGAGGAGUUCGAAGGUACGCUAGUUACGGUCGGACAUCGUGAUAAUAGUGCAAUGGCAUAAGCGUGCUUAACUGCGAGACUGACAAGUCGAGCAGAUACGAAAGUAGGACAUAGUGAUCCGGUGGUUCUGUAUGGAAGGGCCAUCGCUCAACGGAUAAAAGGUACUCUGGGGAUAACAGGCUGAUACCGCCCAAGAGUUCAUAUCGACGGCGGUGUUUGGCACCUCGAUGUCGGCUCAUCUCAUCCUGGGGCUGUAGCCGGUCCCAAGGGUAUGGCUGUUCGCCAUUUAAAGAGGUACGUGAGCUGGGUUUAAAACGUCGUGAGACAGUUUGGUCCCUAUCUUCCGUGGGCGCUG